CCUGCCAGGGAGAUGGGAGAGCAUUCGAGUUUAGUGAACAGCACGAGGCCAGGCAGCGCAUCUGGCUGUCCUGUGGUUUUCGCCACUGUAAUUUCUCAAAAGGGUUGAAUUCCUCCUCUCACCGAACGUUGGCAUUCAGCGGAGUGCCGAUUUGUGAUUGCUUCUUUUCCCAGAAGAGUUUUUUAACAGAUGCCAAGUACAGGCCCAAGGGGGACAGCAACAAUCAGCACCCCCCCCAAGUUUCGUGAAGAUAAAAUCCACGAGUGGUGCAGCGCGGACGUUAAAGAUCCCCCGACGUCAUUCACAGGCGAGCCGGGCCCUUCUGUGCUGACCUCAGGGUCCAAAUUUGCCAAACGAAAUAAAUUACAACGCAUCUACUAAA
Petromyzon marinus (sea lamprey) is the source of this 382-nucleotide non-coding RNA. The record is from RefSeq and is a predicted model, not a curated record. Lineage: Eukaryota; Metazoa; Chordata; Hyperoartia; Petromyzontiformes; Petromyzontidae.